AAGUCGUAACAAGGUUUCCGUAGGUGAACCUGCGGAAGGAUCAUUAACACGUAUCCAAACGUUACUCGUACGUCCGUUAGAAAAAGCAGCAAUCCCUGGUAAAUCAUCGCCGAACAGUUUUCGAUUCAGGGACGUCUGCAAGGAGCGUGCAUGUUGUGCGUGUAAGUGGCCUGGCAUCCCCAAGCAGUUAGUGUCUGAAAGUGUCACUAACGUUAGUGUCUGAAAGUGUCACUAACAUGUGUAAGGAUGACGCAGUCACGAUCGUUGGAGGCCCACACGGCCGACGACCGGGUCACUGGGUGCAAGCCCCCUUAUCACACCCCUGCUCUAUCUAUGGUGAUCCUGCGGGAAGUCCUGCGGUCGAACGCCGAAACCGAACAACUGUUAACAAUGGAUAUCUUGGUUCUC
This 408-nucleotide unclassified non-coding RNA is filed under the name fungal sp. RNAcentral's name for it is "partial internal transcribed spacer region". The stretch from base 1 to 46 matches the Rfam family "Eukaryotic small subunit ribosomal RNA", at positions 1786 to 1831 of the family's 1831-position model. Lineage: Eukaryota; Fungi. The record is from RNAcentral.